UACGUAGGGCGCAAGCGUUGUCCGGAAUUAUUGGGCAUAAAGAGCUCGUAGGCGGCUUGUCACGUCGGGUGUGAAAGCCCGGGGCUUAACCCCGGGUCUGCAUUCGAUACGGGCUAGCUAGAGUGUGGUAGGGGAGAUCGGAAUUCCUGGUGUAGCGGUGAAAUGCGCAGAUAUCAGGAGGAACACCGGUGGCGAAGGCGGAUCUCUGGGCCAUUACUGACGCUGAGGAGCGAAAGCGUGGGGAGCGAACAGG
Molecule: ribosomal RNA, 253 nt
Filed under: uncultured bacterium
Lineage: Bacteria
Description: partial 16S ribosomal RNA
Rfam family: Bacterial small subunit ribosomal RNA
Source: RNAcentral